AGUCGAGCGGACAGAUGGGAGCUUGCUCCCUGAUGUUAGCGGCGGACGGGUGAGUAACACGUGGGUAACCUGCCUGUAAGACUGGGAUAACUCCGGGAAACCGGGGCUAAUACCGGAUGGUUGUUUGAACCGCAUGGUUCAAACAUAAAAGGUGGCUUCGGCUACCACUUACAGAUGGACCCGCGGCGCAUUAGCUAGUUGGUGAGGUAACGGCUCACCAAGGCAACGAUGCGUAGCCGACCUGAGAGGGUGAUCGGCCACACUGGGACUGAGACACGGCCCAGACUCCUACGGGAGGCAGCAGUAGGGAAUCUUCCGCAAUGGACGAAAGUCUGACGGAGCAACGCCGCGUGAGUGAUGAAGGUUUUCGGAUCGUAAAGCUCUGUUGUUAGGGAAGAACAAGUACCGUUCGAAUAGGGCGGUACCUUGACGGUACCUAACCAGAAAGCCACGGCUAACUACGUGCCAGCAGCCGCGGUAAUACGUAGGUGGCAAGCGUUGUCCGGAAUUAUUGGGCGUAAAGGGCUCGCAGGCGGUUUCUUAAGUCUGAUGUGAAAGCCCCCGGCUCAACCGGGGAGGGUCAUUGGAAACUGGGGAACUUGAGUGCAGAAGAGGAGAGUGGAAUUCCACGUGUAGCGGUGAAAUGCGUAGAGAUGUGGAGGAACACCAGUGGCGAAGGCGACUCUCUGGUCUGUAACUGACGCUGAGGAGCGAAAGCGUGGGGAGCGAACAGGAUUAGAUACCCUGGUAGUCCACGCCGUAAACGAUGAGUGCUAAGUGUUAGGGGGUUUCCGCCCCUUAGUGCUGCAGCUAACGCAUUAAGCACUCCGCCUGGGG
RNAcentral lists this ribosomal RNA (837 nucleotides) under Bacillus subtilis. RNAcentral's name for it is "bacterial SSU rRNA". It matches the Rfam family "Bacterial small subunit ribosomal RNA", at positions 60 to 878 of the family's 1533-position model. Lineage: Bacteria; Bacillati; Bacillota; Bacilli; Caryophanales; Bacillaceae. The record is from RNAcentral.